ACACGCUCUCGCCGGUACGUAACGAGUGGCGCACAACCCCAUCGCUUUCGCAGUAGGAUGGCUUCGUACUGCGAGGUGUGUCAAGGCCUUUACGACAUUCCUCACCCACACUUGCGACUGCAGCGCUCGCCAUUGUCGCCGCCACCGUGGAAGCGCGGUAUCUGGAACCCAGUUUGCUCACCAUCAUCGCCACCCAAGCGGGGAGGAAGCGGGGGAGGCCGCGGUAGCCGCGGCAUGUCGUGGCCUCGCGUCGCGAGCCGCCACUGCGAAACCCCACACGGGCUGCCCUCGCCUUUCCUGGAGGCGCGGAGCAGCGGUCACGACUGCGUUAGCCCUUACGUGUGCCCCUGCGAGCAGCGGCGAAGCGCCUCCAUGCCAGCAGUGCCCAACUCCUACGCCGCCUCGGCCUCACAUGCGGCUUCACAUUCCUCCCCUUCUCUCGGACGGCGCGUGUCACCGGGCGCGGAUGGCGGCGCGGGGUGCGGCGACGAACAGGAAGACCACCAUCGCUGCACGACAUCCUUUCCACUCCCGAUGUCUGCCUUCGCAGCCGCUGGGCGGAGAGGUUUUCCCUUCAUAGAGCGAUACUGCGAAGACACGUACUGUAGUCAGCGCCGCGCAGACGGCAACCCGCCCCAACUGGAUUACCUGCGCCGUGGGGCCGGGCAUGUGUGCACGUAUGUGUCUCCUUACGAUGACUGCGAAGGCGAUGGAGAACGGAUCAGGCUGACGCCCGACGGCGGCGACACGGCUUUUCCGUCUUCCUCGUUCUCGCCCUGCGCGCCGGUGGAUGCGCGGGAGGCGGCCGGGCGCCACCAUCGCUGCGCCAGCGCGGGGAGACCGCUGCACGUGCGCUGCGCGUCAUCUCCUUUCCCCUGCGACGACCUGGGGCGCGGUGGCGAGCUCGGUAGCCGCAUACCACACCACUCGUCCUCGCCGCGUAGCCUUGAGGAUGCGACUCGCUACGCCUCCGAACGCGACGCACGGCCGCGAUCGAGUCGUAACACCAGCGCUGAUCACCCUUCCCGGCGAAUAUCCCCGGCAGUCGAUGGAGGUGGUUGUCGCGGUACGCACAUGCCGUCGGCGCACAACGGCACAGGCUCUGGCGAACCGUCUUCCUCGCAGCGACCGCCGCUGCUGCCGUCGGUGGCAUCGAUGACGCCGGCGUCUUCUUUUGCGGGCCUCAUCCUCGACGCUGAACAACGUGCUCAGCCAUCUGCCAGUUUUGAGGCACCGCUGCACUUCACCAGACACGGUGAUUCGGCGCGGCAGCCUGCGGUCUCGGAUGGUCCACUGCCGUCUCGCGCUAGUGACUCUCUGGCGAACCUCGUCGCCAAGAUACGAGCGGAAGUCAGCAAAGACGUGACUUCGUGGGCCACAAGAGCGCCCAGCAGCGAUCCACUUCUGAACCCCGCGGAUGCGAAGCCUCGGACAACUGCAGAGGGUAAGAGACAAAAACACCGCCGUGCGGAGAAGCCGCAGGCGCAGGGCUACGCUCCAGUUACGACGUCGCACGCGGAGCAGACCUCCGCCACUCAGGCUACAGCGUCGUCGCUCCUGUCUUCGUCCGACGUGUCGACAGGUGCAGAGGGGACCGCCGCUUUUCAUGCGCUGGCCGCUCGACGGUCAUCCAGCGCAGGCGACAAUAGCGGCUCGCAUGCUUACCGGCCUUCCGCUGCUCCUCCAGCGGCCAGUGGUCAGGCUCGCAGCGCGCGGUCGCAUCGACGGCGCAGCAGCACUGCAGAAUACCGUCACCCGUCCCGGCCGCGGCACUCUUCGUCGUCAUCCCUGUCGGCGGGUUCGACCCGGUCAUCGUCCUCUUCGGUGCAUCUCCGCUACACUGUGAGGAGGGCCGAGGCAGUCCUAGGCCGACUGAGGGACAGAUCAGGCGGCAAUGGCGGCAGUCGCGCACUAUCGCCCGCUGUGAAGAAGACGAGGGAAUUCGUGGGCAACUUGCUGGCUGAUGACGCCGCUGCUGCUGGUGCAGCAAACGCCCAUGGUCGACGGAAUACCUCGGCGCACUCUUCCGCACACGGAAAGGACUGCACAAGGUUGCAGAGUGGCAGGGGACGUCGCCGCCACUCGGCCCCUCCUCUGCCCUCUCGACCUCAUGCGACACGUGCGCCAUCCCGCCGAUCUUCUCUUCCAGCUCCCACAGAUACGUUCUCGACGGAGAGCCCAGGUGCACCCCAGCGAGUGCAUCCACCUGAUCGGGCUGCAAGGGAGGCGACAAGAGACGUGGGACAGAAGAGAGAUGAUGCGCCGGCGGCUACGGAAACGGUGGCUGAGUUACGUCGGCAGCAUGAGAUGUGGCGCACCACACAGGAGCACCGGAUCGAGCGGCUACGCGAGGGUCUGUCGGCGCUAUGCGCGGCCGUCCGAAAAGACCUUCAGAAGGUGCGCGAGGAGGUGGGUCGGGUGCGUGCCGAGGCCAUUGGUACGGCGGAAGACGCUCAAAAACGAAUGCGUGAGGCAUUGGCGACCGCAUUCCGGUCCAACUCGCCCGAUGAACGUGUGACUCACGCAAAAAGACGGGAGGUGGACUUCGACCCGAAUUCCGUCGUGGCGGCCGUGACACAGUGCACGCCGGCGGAGCAGCGCCGUCUCGCCAUGCUGCUUUUGCCUCACUUUCGACCGCUACUCGCGGAGAUGGUCCAGGGUGAGGUGCAGUGCCAGCUCCGCCAGCACCGCGACGAGCAGCAAGAGGCGCAGCACAGACUUGAGCAGCGCUUGCACACGUACGUUGGGGAAGCGGUGGUGUCCCAUCAGCGCCGUACACACGCAGACGAGACCUUAGGCAGUGAAGGCAUCGCCACCGCCCCCUUGUGGGCAACCUUCUCUUCUGCGGACGCCUUCGACGCACACCUCCGCGCUGCAACUCGCGCGGUGCUGCUCGAGGAGGACGACCGACGGUAUGGCCUGGCGAAUGAGAACGAGCGCCGGCAUGAGCGGCGCGUGCAGAAGCUGAAGCAGGGCUGGCAAGAGACGCUGAAAACCGCACAAGCGGAGUGGAAGGCUGAGUGGAAGGCCAUUUUGGAGAAGGAGGCAAAUGCGUGGACAUGCUGUGUCCGGGCACCGCUGCAGCAGCAGGCCGACAUGCUUCAGGACAUUGUAAAGGCCCUCACACGCGACGUGACAAACCUGCAGGAGCAGCAGGAGGCGCUCUCCGCGCGCCUCUCGACCAGUCUGCGACAUGAGCGGGAAGUGCGAGUGCAGGAGCAGACGCAGCUCACCGAGCGUGUUGAGCAGCAUCUGCGACAACUGCUACCGCGUGAGGUCGAGUCGGCCUGCGUGCGAUUCCAUGCGUUGCGAGAGCAACGGCUCGCAGCUGCAGCUUCACGAGGCACUUUUACCGAACUGACCACUCCCGGGGCAUCGCGCCGGAGUGCGACACCCACGAUCAGCGCUGCCGCUGCGGCCGCUGCGCCAUCAUCCGCAGAGGAGCUUCGCUUGUCCAUCGUGCAACCGGCCAUGGAGCACAUGCGGCGUCUGCUCGUGCUGCACCAAGAGAUGAUCGACGCGAUGGUUGAGGCUCGUUGCCGUCGCGCUGAGCACACGGUGGAGGGGAAUCGGCACGUGUGGUCGCAGAACGUGGCGGAGCUGCGGUCCAAGCUCUCGGCGCUGCGCGCCGACGUGCGUGGUGCCUUGGGCGAGUUGUGCGAGAACAUCAACGUGGCCUCUCCAGCCCUGUGAGAUCAUAUGUAACAACGGCAGUGCGCGUGGCGCAUGCACGCAUGUGUGCUUGUGUGCGCACGCAGGCUUUACCUUUCAUAGAAUUACGAGCGGGAGGCAAAGGAGACAGCAGAGGUGGACGCUGACGGAGGAAGAGGGUGGGCAGCGGUUUGGUGAGUGGAUCGGCCACGGAGGCGCUUGGAGGAGGCGUUGUGUGUGUGGCUGAGGUAAUCACAACGCGCCUGAGAGAGAGGCGCGAGAGAGACGCGUCUAUCCUGGCCGGUGGGGUGGAGGAGGAGCGAGCGACGUGCAAAGGUCAGUUCAGGGCCGCGGUACAGGCGACAGGUGAUCAUGCCCUCGUUGUCUCCCCACCCUCUGCUGCCGUUCAUGUCCACACAGCCUUCAUGCCCCUCUCCCGCUCUCUUUCACAGCAACGCCCACUUCUCAUUCUAUGGCGCUCUGUCAUUGUGCACACGACUGGCCUCUCGUCUCCGUCUGCCGCCCCUGCAUCCUCUUCUCCCAGCCUUCCCCCCUCUCGGGCUCCCUCUCUCACGAUUGUGGAUCCCUGUACGCACUCCCUCAUCAUAG
This 4260-nucleotide unclassified non-coding RNA is filed under the name Leishmania donovani. Its description in RNAcentral is "gene:LdHU3.17.0930(CDS-product:hypothetical_prote in_conserved)". Lineage: Eukaryota; Euglenozoa; Kinetoplastea; Trypanosomatida; Trypanosomatidae. The record is from RNAcentral.